Molecule: ribosomal RNA, 524 nt
Filed under: Lasiodiplodia theobromae
Lineage: Eukaryota; Fungi; Ascomycota; Dothideomycetes; Botryosphaeriales; Botryosphaeriaceae
Description: eukaryotic LSU rRNA
Rfam family: 5.8S ribosomal RNA (bases 158-311)
Source: RNAcentral
UACCUGCGGAAGGAUCAUUACCGAGUUUUCGAGCUCCGGCUCGACUCUCCCACCCUUUGUGAACGUACCUCUGUUGCUUUGGCGGCUCCGGCCGCCAAAGGACCUUCAAACUCCAGUCAGUAAACGCAGACGUCUGAUAAACAAGUUAAUAAACUAAAACUUUCAACAACGGAUCUCUUGGUUCUGGCAUCGAUGAAGAACGCAGCGAAAUGCGAUAAGUAAUGUGAAUUGCAGAAUUCAGUGAAUCAUCGAAUCUUUGAACGCACAUUGCGCCCCUUGGUAUUCCGGGGGGCAUGCCUGUUCGAGCGUCAUUACAACCCUCAAGCUCUGCUUGGAAUUGGGCACCGUCCUCACUGCGGACGCGCCUCAAAGACCUCGGCGGUGGCUGUUCAGCCCUCAAGCGUAGUAGAAUACACCUCGCUUUGGAGCGGUUGGCGUCGCCCGCCGGACGAACCUUCUGAACUUUUCUCAAGGUUGACCUCGGAUCAGGUAGGGAUACCCGCUGAACUUAAGCAUAUCAAUAG